UUUCAAGCUUGUGUCUUUGAAUAUAGAGAUUUCACUCACAUAUACUUGUCUUGUCGGUUUUAGAUUGGAUACAGACAUAUCGACUGUGCUUCCAUAUACGGUAACGAGAAAGAGGUAAUAUUGCUAAUUUACAUUAACAAUCUCUCUAAUGUCUGAAAAAAAUUAUAUCUUUUUUAGCUAUUUCCAUUUUGAACUGUGAUCUUAAUCAUUUGGCAAUGGAACCAAAUUUUUUUUUUGUUUCCUUUGAAUUUUUUACUGGUAUUCGAAUCUAGAGUGAAAGUUAAAACUUUGUGGGCUCAUUGUUGUCAAAAUAGGUUCAAUUGAGCUCACAUUAUGUGUAACAUCUUUGCUUCCAUUGAAAGAGUUAUAUGAAUGUUUAGUUUUGGGGGGUUGAAGUGUCCUGCCUCUUUGUUUCUUUGUUCUCACGCUAUGAUUGCAUUUAUGCUAAGAUUGGUAGUGUAUUGAAGAAGCUCAUAGAUGAUGGUUUCGUGAAGCGUGAGGAGUUAUUCAUCACUUCGAAACUCUGGUUUGCCUUCUUUUCCUACCAUCUUUUCUCUUGUGGACAUGCUUUUUUUUUUUUGGUUUGCACACACAUAUGUUCAUUGUUCUGCAGGUGCAAUGAUCAUUUGCCUGAAGAUGUCCCUAAAGCACUGGACAAAACAUUGCAUGACUUACAAAUUGACUACGUUGAUUUAUAUCUGGUACAACAUAACCUCAAAGAUUGCAUCUUUAAAAUGUUUUAUAUAAUUGUUUCUAUUUUGAAUGUGUGUUUUGCUUUUUUUGUUGAAGAUACAUUGGCCAGUGAGCUUGAAGAAGGAAUCACGUGUGCCAACACCUGAAACACUCACAAAACCUGACUUACCAAGUACAUGGAAAGCAAUGGAAGCUCUCUAUCACUCUGGAAAAGCUCGGGCCAUCGGUGUGAGCAACUUCUCUUCCAAGAAGCUCGUUGAUCUUCUAAACGUGGCACACGUAGUCCCUGCUGUUAACCAAGUGGAAUGCCACCCAGUGUGGCAGCAACAAAGUCUUCAUGAACUAUGCAAAUCCAAAGGAGUUCACUUAUCCGUGAGUAUACACAUUCUGAUUUGACUAUGUUUCUUGCUGGUAUGAAUUAACGAAGACACCAUCAUUGGUUUCGGCUUUGAUGAUAGGGUUACUCUCCAUUGGGUUCACAAUCUAAGGGAGAAGUCAGGUUAAAGGUUCUUCAGAACCAGAUUGUCGCCGAGGUUGCAGAGAAACUUGGAAAGACCACCGCUCAAGUGGCUCUUCGUUGGGGACUCCAAAUGGGUCAUAGUGUCCUACCAAAGAGCUCGAGCGAGGCUAGACUCCAGGAGAAUCUUGAUGUUUUUGACUGGUCCAUACCUGAAGAUCUGCUUGUCAAGUUCUCCAACAUUCCUCAGGCAAGUUCUUUCCUGUUUUUCCAUUCUUUUUACGGGAGAUUAUUAAGUCAGAUUCUGGGAAAAAUCAUCCCACAUAACUCUAAGAACACCCUUCAUUGUUGAUUAUUUAGAUCAUCGAAUCUUGGUUUUCACGUUUCCUUUAAAUCUUGCAGGAGAAGUUAGUCCCAGGUGCUGAUUUCGUGCAUGAGACGAAUGGCUUCUAUAAGACCAUUGAUGAGCUAUGGGACGGUGAAAUCUGAAAAGCUUCAUCUAGACGUUAAGGACAUCGAAUUAUUUUCUGUUUAAUAAAUCCUUCAUGUUUGUUAUCGGUUAGAAACACUACAUGAAACUUCCCAAGCUUUGGAAACUGUUUACUUAGUUCAGUCUUCAAACAAUAGACUGUGUACUACGAAUUCAUCAUAACUGCUUUAGUCCAACCUGCGAAUAUAUCCUUCAUAUUUUAGCGUUGAAAAUCUUGUGUAAUCCGCAAAACUUAUGUAUGAUCUGAAAUCGAAAUCCAAACCCUGACCGUUAGAAAACUAUAUUAUUUGAUCUUACAAAUGCGUUUCCAUCUCUAUUAAUUGCAAAUCUGAAUAUUUUUCUACCUUCGCCUUUCGUCGUAUGUUGCUCGUGGAGCAGAGGAAAUGAGGAAUGCUACAUUGAUGUGUAGUGUUGGAUCCUAUCCGUUUUCAAUAUUCUGUUUUUUUUUUUAUUUGCUUCCGUGAAAGCAUCUCCAAUGGUCUUUCAUUUUUCAUUUUUUUCUUUUAUUUUGAAGAUAAAAAUGAAGAAAUGUUCUCCAAUGGUAUUUCAAAUUCAUCUUCAAAAUGAAAAAAUAAACAGUGUUCCUUCAAAUUUAAAGGAAUACUGUUCAUUUCUUCAUUUUUUGAAGGUAAACUUUUUUAUUUAUAAAAUGUAUCUUUGACUUUUUACAUGCUUUGUUUUAUACACAAACAAAAUUUAUAUGUUUUUAAUCCAAUUAAUUUUAAAACUGUUAAUUUUUUUAAUUAAAUUAUAAAAUAAAAAUACAAUAAGCACAGUAAAAAUAUACAAUAACAUAUAUUAUAUAGAAAAUACAAGAACAUAGAAAUCAAAAAUGCAUAAUUAAUACUAAAUUAUUUAUAAAUAAUAAACUUAACAUAACAUAAACUAACAACUUAAUAAUUUGGAAAAUCACUUCCAGGUCCAUCAAGAUGAUUAAAAUACUGUCCAAAUGAAGUUGAUGCUGAAGGAGGAGUUUGCUGAUUUUGUUGUUGUUCAGCCAUUUUCUGUAAAAUCCGUGCUUGUUCAGCUUGAACAUAUGUUAAAAAAAAAUAUUUUGCUACACAACAAGAAGCUAGCAAGAAAGAUGUAGAACGGGCAUUUGGUGUUCUUCAAUCACGUUUCGCAAUUGUGAAAGGGCCAGCUCGUUUUUGGGAUAAGAAUGUGUUACAUGACAUAAUGACCAUUUGUAUAAUUUUACAUAAUAUGAUAAUUGAAGAUGAGCGUGAUCUCAGUGCACCAAUUGAAGUAAGAAGAAAAGUUCCACCUCUAGAGGUUAAAAUAGAAGCGAAUGAAAGUAUCCGGUUCCAAGAAUUUUUGGCUCGUUAUAAAAAAAUCAAGGAUAAAGAAGUUCAUUUCUCUCUUCGAAAUGCAUUAAUUGAUCAUCUAUGAGAAAAAUAUGUGCCUUCUAGUACAUCAUAAAAUUAUGCAUGAUUUGUUCUUAUUUACAUUAUAUAUUAUGUAUUGUAAUUUUCUUUAUGUCAUAAAUUUUUAAAUUAUAUAAAAAUUAUAAUUUGGUUGAAUAAUUAUUUUACGUAAAUAAAUAGGUGAAAAUUUGUAAAACUGAAAAGUAUAGGACCUUGUUAGCAAUUAAUAAAAAAAUAGAGAUAAAAUAUGCAUGAAAUAUUCUUUUUGAAGAAAAAAAUGAAGAAAGUUUGCUCCAAUUCAUUUUUGAAGGAAAAAAUGAAGAAACCAUUGGAGAUGCUCUUAGUGUGUACUCUGUUUUGAGAUUUUUUUUUCAUUUAUUUUGCAAUAUUUUAAAAAUAAAAUAAUAUUAUUCUCCAAUUUAUUCUCUUCUUAUUAAGCGAAUGAAUAGCAUGUGUAUUUAUUGAAGAUCAAUUUUUAGCAAAUUAUUCUUGCAGAAGGAGUUGAUUAUUUCAUAAUUGUAUACAGUUUUAGAUAUGUGUAUCUAUUUAACCUAUUGUGCUGGUUAGUCAGAGGUGCUGAUUUCACGUAUGAGACGAGCAGUUUAUAACACCAUUGAUGAGCUAAGGACAUUGAAUUGUCUUUUGUUUAUAUAACCCUUUAAGUUUGUUCUCAGUUAAAAACCACUAUCACAUGAAAUAAGGUUUGGCAACUGUUUCCUCAUCAGUCUUUAAUCAAUAAAAUGUUUUCAACUAGUAUUACAAAUUCAAUAUAACAACUGUAGUCGAACAUACAAAUAUAUCCUUAGCUCGCUUUGUAAAUUUUCUACAAACCUCAAUAAGUAUAUAUGAUCCGAAAUUAAAAGUUAAACGUAACAUUGAAAAGAUGUAUAAAAUGUGGAUAAUUAAUGAUACAAGUAUCUAGAUUGUUAAAAAUUUUAAAAUUUAUUAAUAAAAGAAUAAUGGACUUUUACAAAUUUUUGGAUGAACUUUCCUUUAUGAAGUAGCUAAAGAAUAUGGGAAGAAAAUACUAUUGGUCUUCAAUGGAUCUCUUUCACUUGAAACCAAUGUUGGAGAAGAAGUUCAUAACGAGAUGAGGACGUGAGGCCGUGAGAGCAAGGAAAAGACUCUAUUGUGGAUAGUCGAUAAGCAGGACAUUGUCAUUAUGGAUUGUCGGAUGACAAUAUUCCUUCUGUCGCCUAUUAUUAUUCUCCCUCAAGAUAUAAGAUAUAGUAGUCUGAAACAUAUACACAAAAAGGAGAAAACUAUCUCUAUCAAAUUAGUGGUGUAAUUCGAUGCAACAUUUCCGUCCAAUCUGGAUCAGCCGAUAGUUUUAAAACGUUACACAUAACAUCAAACCAUACUAUAUAUGAAUAUGGGUAAACGAAAAAUAAAUGGUCACAAAAAAAGAAAAAUAAAUGGUCACAAAUUUCAUUCCGCUCUUCACAUAAGAGACAAAGCUGAAUGCGGCUCCAACCUCAAGUAAUAGUUUUCUAUUGAUAAUAACCAAGUGAUCAUACAAAUACUCCUUUGUAUCUUAGUGAUUGCACUGUUAACCAAGUGAUCUUUUUUACGGCCGGUAAGGAAUCUUCUUAUUGACUCCGGGGGUCUUGAGUCUUUCAUCAAAAAUUACAUUAACGUCUUUUAAAAAAAAUUGUGUAGAACAAAUAAACUAUUUUUAUAAGUUAAAAGAAAAUUUUCUGUAUACAUAUUUAAUAAAUUCUCCCAUAUUAUUCUCAAAUUUAUUAUGUUCAAACUUCACAGGGAAAUGACACCGGCCGACAAAAAAAAAAGACACCGACCGUGCAAAAUGUACAGGAGCUCAAAUCAGCCGUCGAUUACCAUUUUCCAUUGGACAAAUAUAUGUGUGGGCCCAAAAUUAUGAUCACAUUCGACAUUAGCAAAAGAGGACAUCUAAAUGAACGGAUAAGAUACAUCCACGUCAUAGUCAAUAUCUGACGUGACAAUACUAACGCAAGAAAGAAAUCAAUUUUGGCCACGACUCUCCCGCCUUUGUCGCUUUCACUUCUUCCCUUUUUUUUUGGGUUCUUUUUUAAUUUAUUAAAAUGUUAAAUUUAUUACCCAAGAAAAGAAUGUUUUUUAUAUUUGUUCUAUUGAUUAGUGGACGUUGAGAAGUGCGCUGUGUAUGCUUUUGAACCAACGCUAUCGAUCUUUAAUCUCCGAUAAUGGCGAACGCGAUCAGAUUCUUCGAGCUUAACACCGGCGCUAAGAUCCCGUCGGUGGGUCUCGGAACAUGGCAAGCCUCUCCGGGCCUCGUCGGCGAUGCCGUCGCCGCCGCUGUAAAGGUUCGUCUUUUGGUUAACGCGAUUCCAUGGUUUCAUCGUAUUUUUCUGUCGAUCUCUUAUAAUUUCUUAGUUUUUGAAUAUACAAAAUGUUAACUUUUCCUAAUAACAAUAUGCUAAUCUCCAAGAUCUCCUAACAUAAUUCCAUACAUAAUGUUUUAGAGAGAUUAGUUCUCUGUUUCAAUUGGAUUUUUGUUUUUUUAAUGAUUAAUGUUUAUUGAUCGUUCAAGUCUUUGUAUGUAACUGUGCAAGUGAAGAUAUUUAAUCUUCUUUUUUUUUUGGUUGCAGCUCGGAUAUCGUCAUAUUGAUUGCGCUCAGAUCUACGGCAACGAAAAAGAGGUAGAAAGAUAACACAUAGAUGCUUGAUUUAGCCCAAUUGAAUAACAUUGAUGAUUCUUCUUUCAUAUGGAUUUAGUCAUUUUAGUGUGUCUUGAAUUGGUCGGUCUUACAUUUAACGAUCAAAUAUUAACAGUGUGUUUUUCCUCUUGACUAUACCUUUAUUGUGUUGAUUGCAAUGAGUAAUGACAAACAUGUGCAUUUUGAAUUUCAAUGAUCUGUUUUAUUUGUUGAAUCCUCAUAAAGCUUGUUGCUUUCCUGUUCAGAUUGGGACAGUCUUGAAAAAACUGUUUGAAGAUAGUGUAGUGAAACGCGAGGAGUUGUUCAUCACUUCCAAACUCUGGUAUCUUGUGUUAUACUGUGUUUAUUAGAAUGCAUUAUUCUAUGAAUUUAAGUGUAGCUUUAAUCUUGCAUUUUUCAUUUUGUGUUCCAUCAAAGGUGUACUGAUCAUGACCCUCAAGAUGUGCCAGAGGCACUAAACAGAACUCUACAAGAUCUGCAGCUUGACUACGUCGAUCUGUAUCUGGUAAGCAUCACUUUUCGUUGCAACAGUUGCACAAUUUAUAUUUUUGCUUAAGCAUAAUCCGUAUAGCAUUUUUCUUGAAGAUGCACUGGCCUGUACGGAUGAAGAAAGGUUCUGUUGGAGCUAAGCCAGAGAACCUUUUACCUGUAGAUAUUCCUAGCACAUGGAAAGCAAUGGAAGCACUCUAUGAUUCGGGCAAGGCACGAGCCAUAGGUGUAAGCAACUUCUCGACCAAGAAACUAAGUGAUCUCUUGGAGUCAGCUCGUGUUCCUCCAGCUGUUAAUCAGGUCGAGUGUCAUCCUUCUUGGCGACAAACUAAGCUAAGAGAGUUCUGCAAAUCCAAAGGAGUUCAUCUCACUGUAAGCAUCACUCAUCUCACCAAUCGUUGUUACUUCCUCUGCCUUGUGAAUAAAUGUGCAUUCACCUUAUGCAUUUGAUUGGAUAUUCUUGCAAGGCAUACUCGCCAUUGGGCUCUCCAGGAACAACGUGGCUCAAGAGCGAUGUUCUGAAGAACCCUGUACUGAUUAAUGUUGCGGAGAAGCUUGGAAAGUCUCCUGCGCAAGUUGCGCUUCGCUGGGGACUCCAAAUGGGUAAUAGUGUACUUCCAAAAAGUACUAAUGAAGGUAGAAUCAAAGAGAACUUUGAAGUUUUCGAGUGGUCAAUACCUGAUGACCUGUUCGCUAAGUUUUCAGAGAUUGAACAGGUACAGUGGCUACAUCACCACUUCGUUCUUGUACAUUUCAUUACAUAAGAUUAGUUGCUCUGCUUUUUCAUUGGUUUGAUCUAGAAUCAGAGUUUAUGUGUUUUGGAUUAAAAUGCAGGCUAGGUUAUUGACUGCUUCCUUCUUUGUUCACGAGACACUGAGCCCUUACAAGUCUCUUGAAGAAAUUUGGGAUGGGGAGAUAUGAUUAUUAUAUUCAGCUGAUCUAUUUUGUUUUGUCAAUAAAUGGGAGGUUUCUCUCUGUGUUGAACUUUUCAGUUUGCUCCUGAAUGUUACAGAAAAGGAAUGCCACUCAAAUAAUUUACAGCUUCUUAUUAUUUUGAAUUUUAACAAUGGAUCCAAUUAUACAUUUGCAAUGGAUCCGAUACGAGAAUAUUCUUGCAGCUAAAACAUCAUUAACCAAACUCUCACACUUUUAAGUAAAACUCAACAAUGAGACGAGUAUUUCAAGUAAUCAACAUAAAGUUUUGGAUAAUUGGCAAAAAGAAAUUAAACUUCAAAAAAUACAUAUAAAUGAGCAAUUCAGAUACCAAUUUUAACUGAGUUGGUUAUAUAGGAAGUAGAUGAACUGAAAUUGUGUUAAUGAAUUGCGGUCGGCGCAAUGUAUGCGUGGACCCCAAAAGGUACCACGUGGACCGAUCAUAUUCGAGAGAUCAAUGAUGAAAUCUAAAAACCACGAACUAGAUACUUCCACGUAAGGGUCAAUAUCUGACGUGACAAUACCAAAAAUUUCAAAAAAGUUCCCGGCUCUGUGGCUCUCACUUCUCCACACGUAAUGGUCAAUAAUACGCCUUUUAUUUUCUUGGAUUAGUGUACGUGUUGAGCCAACAGCAGAGAAUCUCAACACUCCAAUCUUUGAUAAUGGCAAAUGCGAUGAGAUUCUUCGAGCUCAAUACCGGCGCUAAGAUCCCGUCGGUAGGUCUCGGAACAUGGCAGGCCUCUCCUGGCCUCGUCGGCGAUGCCGUCGCCACCGCUGUUAAGGUUCGUCUUUCGGUUCAUCGUGUCGUGUUUGCUUCGGAUUCCACACUUUAUUCAGAGAUGUCACGACGCCUCUCUAUCUAUGUUUGAUCGUUGAGUUAGUUUUCAUCGUAAGUAGCUGUGAAACUGAAGUUAUUUAUUCUUGAAUUCUUAUUGCAGAUUGGCUAUCGUCAUAUUGAUUGCGCUCAGAUGUAUGGCAACGAAAAUGAGGUAAUUAGAAACAUUGAUGCUUGAUUUAGCCAAGCUUACUUAUUUUAUAUGUUUUCCUUGUGCUUUGUGUAUUAUCUCUAGCUAGGCAUUGAUUUGAAAUUAGCCAGCCUUAAGUAGUCGUUAAUCAAUGAAAAAAAUUAUUCCUUUUUUUGGUCAAGUAUUUCAAUUUUUAGUUAUGUAUAGUUAAAUUUAUGAUUUACAACUACGUAAUUAUGAGAGUGAUUUGAUCAAAAUCUGAAUUUGAUUUGAUAAUUAUCUUAUGGAGGCCUAAUCUCAUCAAUAAUUUGAUAUUUCGUAUUUGAGUAUUAUUGGCUAAUAUUUCUGUCAAAUGUUUGUUCCUCUUAAAAUUUUAAAGUUUUUAUUUUUGAAAUAUCUAAACUUUAGUAUCUAUGGACCAUGUUAUAAUCUUUACAUAUAUAAUGUAUAUAUUUAUCAUAGGAAUAAUAUCUCAACUGCUUGUUUAGUCCCAGUGAUAAAAUGUGUAUUUUUCUUGGUCAAUGGUCUGCUUAAUUAUGUUAUAUUCCCAAUCUCUUGAAGCUUGUUGCUUUCUUGUUUCUGUCUGGUUGUGUCUCCAAUGAGGAUACUGAAAGAUCUUUCCUCCUGUGCAGAUUGGGGCAGUUUUGAAAAAACUGUUUGAAGACAGUGUAGUGAAACGCGAGGAGUUGUUCAUCACCUCCAAACUCUGGUAUCUUGCGUUGUAUUGUGUUUAUCCAAUGAUUAAUGAACAUUCUGUGACUAAUGUGUAGCCCUAAUCUUGCAUUUUCAAUUUGUGUAUCAUCCAAGGUGUGCUGAUCAUGACCCUCAAGAUGUGCCUGAGGCAUUAGACAGAACUCUACAGGAUUUGCAGCUUGACUACCUCGAUUUGUAUUUGGUAAGCAACUAAGCAUCACUUGGAUGGAAAUGUUAUGUGAUAAAAUUUUAAGUUGAAUUAGUUUUUCACUAAAAACCAAUUGAUAAUGAGCACAUAUAUUGACCCAUAUUACUUUAGAUCUCAUAUUAUUUAUUUUCAGAUGUGAGUGUCCUAACCUAUCUCUUCAACAAGUGUUGAAACUUGUUUAUAUUUCCGCUUAAACCUAAUCUAAAUAGCAUUUCCGCUUUUGGGGAUCGAUUGUUCAUAGAGGGAAGACUAUUUCAUAACAGUUUCUUUGUGUUUAUUUUUUUUGGAAGAUGCACUGGCCUGUACGAAUGAAAAAAGGUUCUGUAGAGCUUAACCUCGAGAACCUUUUGCCAGUAGACAUUCCUAGAACAUGGAAAGCGAUGGAAGCACUCCAUGAAUCGGGAAAGGCACGAGCCAUAGGUGUAAGCAAUUUCUCGACCAAGAAACUAGGUGAUCUCUUGGAGUUAGGUCGUGUUCCUCCUGCUGUUAAUCAGGUCGAGUGUCAUCCUUCUUGGCGACAAACUAAGCUACGAGAGUUCUGCAAAUCCAAAGGAGUUCACCUUAGUGUAAGCAUUACUCAUCUCACCAAUCGAUUUACUAUUAUCCAUUUGUCAAUAUGUGACAUGCCUUAUACUACAUUGAUUGAAUAUUCUUGCAAUGCAAGGCGUACUUUCCAUUGGGUUCUCCAGGAACAACGUGGCUUAAAAGCGAUGUUUUGAAGAACCCAAUACUGAAUAUGGUUGCGGAGAAGCUUGGAAAAUCUGCUGCUCAAGUUGCACUUCGCUGGGGACUCCAAAUGGGUAACAGUGUACUUCCCAAAAGUACCAAUGAAGGAAGAAUCAGAGAGAACUUAGAUAUUUUCGACUGGUCAAUACCCGAUGACUUGUUCGCCAAGUUUUCUGAGAUUGAGCAGGUACAGCUAAAUCCACACGUCGGUUUCAAAUAAACUUUGUUGCUCUGUUUUUCCUCUGUUUGAUCUAGAAUUAAGAGUUUUGUGUGUAUUUGGAUUAAAUGCAGGCUAGGUUAUUGAAUGCUUACUUCUUUGUUCACGAGACACUGAGCCCUUACAAGUCUGUCGAAGAAUUAUGGGAUGGGGAGAUAUAAUAAUCAGCUAGCGAUAUAUUUGUUUUCUGUCUGUGGUUUUUGGUUUGUUCAUGAAUGUUACAGAAAAGACUUGUCACUGAGAUAAUUUACGAUCAUAUUUGUUUAUAUUUUAAAUUUUGAAUUUUGAAGUAAAAGAGAUAUGUGUUUUUUUUUUGAACAUCUACAAAGAUAAGUGAUCUAAUUCUACAAUUGAAAUGUAUUAUAGACUAGUCACCGAAAAUCGAAAAAAUGAAACUUGCAUAUGGUUGUGACCAUACCAAUCAAACCCUACAUUCACAUUGCAUUAGAGCUAAAUGUCCAAACGAGUGAUCAAACCUAAAAUAAUAAGGAUUUAUAAUCGAAAAUGAAUAUGUCAACAAAUUGUAAUUUUGAGACGGCAGCUUCUGAAUCUCGCAUUAAAAAAAAAAUUAAGAUAAUGCAAAAUUUAUAAGGACCAUAAAUCAUUCUUCUCUUUGUCUAACUGAUUUUGAGAUGGAGCUCAAAUGCUCAAUUUUCUUACAAUCUUAUGCUGACAAAGAGAUUCUGUAACAAUUCUUAGAUUUACAAGUAUACAUAUCUUUGUAGUUGAGCUCUUUUCGUAUUAGAGUAUUUGAACUUUGAUGUAUUCAAGUUUAUUUAAACCAAAACCGACGCCAUCAAUGACUCAAGAGCAAUUUACAAUCAUGCGAUUAUGUGAAAUUGAGACACAUACAAACAUAUAUAAGGAGAGCAACAAAAACAAAAUAAACAUACAUACAUAUAUAUGUAUGUAACGGAAAACAACACCGAAAUUGCGACACACCAACAAUUAAAAAAAUUUCAUCGGAAAAGAAACUAUUAAUACUCACAUGCCUGAAUACUCAUAUGCAGUAGUAUCAUAUGCAGUAGUAUCUGUAUAUCCAUCGGUCAUUGUUGCAAAGGCCACCUGGCCUGCUACCGUAGCAGUUACAGCUAAAGCAGCCUUGAGGGGACCCAAAAAUCCUCCCGGUUUCUUCUUACCCUUGCUUGAGUCUGGACUGGGAUUUGCUUUUGGAGAACUCGGGUUCAUGUACGGAUGCUGAGGUUGAUGACCACCAACAUGAGGGAAUGGCCCAUACGGAUCCAUAUGUCCAUAACCAAAAGGGAUUCCUUGACCAUAAUGGUGCGGCGACGAUGGUUGUCCCUGUCCCGCGUGGUCAUGCAAGCUUCUCUGCUUCACUAUGGUUGUUGCACGAGGAGACGAGGCCGCAUGCAUCGGACCGUGUGCGCAAUGCGGGUGAGAUUCAAAACUACAGUGCUUGCAUUUGUAGAACAUCCCUUGGAUGUAGACUCGGCAAACAUAGCAUCCACGCUCGGCCAUGUGCGUGGGACCGGUGAUGAGGCUUAGCUCAUGAUCAGGCGCGUGCCAUGAGUAUCUGAGGGUUGCAGGACAAGUGGCACAAUAUUCGUGGAGAUCGUAAUCGCAGUCCUUGCACCGGUAUGUCUUGCCGUCUCCGUACAGUUUGCAACCAUUGCAUGUGUAUGUUCCUACAACGUUAGCUUCGGUCAAGGGAUGGUUAUGCGUGAAAUGUUGAAUCGUGUUCGGUUUUGACAUCCUCCCGUGCCGUUUUGGGUGUUGAACUGGAGCACGGUUUAGGUAAUGCUAGCUUUUGAUUUUCUUGGUGCUAGUUAUCAGUGGAAAUGUUUGCAAAAUCUGCAAUAGCCUUCUUCUGUUAUUAAUACAAAUUUAGUUGACUUUGGUGGAGUUGACCGAUCAUACAAAGAAAAUGUCACUUGUGUUAUAAUUUUUCUGUUUCAAGUUGUUGAUAUUAUACACGAAUUUACGUUGAAAUGUUCUAUUACAUGUCUGGUUUUCAACUGAGGACGUGUCUUCAAGUUUUCAACCAUUACAGUAAUACUAGUGGUAUAUAAGAAAAAGGAAAAAACAACAAUUACAAACUGAGCCGGCCACUAUCAUAUAUAUAAUUCCUUGAUGCUAACAAUUGAAUAUUUUCAGAAGAAAAUGAAAAUCCCUAAAAAAAUCGGUAAAAAAAAAGGGGUUAAAUGGUUGUUGAAUCGACAUUUUUUUAUUUAGUUUUAUACAUUUAUUUUAUUUUUACACAUGUUUUUAGAAAAUAUAUCCUAUUUUUUUUAAUAAAAGCACUCUAUAGAAAAUAUAUUUGAACGAAAUAUUAAGGCCCAAGUCAUUACCCUUUAUGGGCUAAGCAAGUCCAUUAUACCCAACUCAUUUCAUCAUUUUCCUUUUUUCUCCUCUUUUGAUCAAUUUCACUUAGUGUCGCUUUCACGAGAUACAUAUCGUACCUCCGAUAAUGGCGGAGGAAAUCGGAUUAUUCGAGCUCAACACCGGAGCGAAGAUACCAUCAGUCGGUCUCGGAACGUGGCAGGCUGAUCCUGGUCUCGUCGGAAACGCCGUCGAAGCCGCUGUUAAGGUUCGUCUGUGAUUUUGUGGCUUCGUGGUCACUGGUCACUGAUCGUUGCGUUUUAGGAUUUAUGGCCAAAUCUGUAUAGCUGAAUUGCUAGUUCCUCUUUGUUUCUUUAUUGAGUUAGUCAUUUUCACCUAAAUUGAUUUACACUUCUAACGAAAAAAACUGAAGAUUCUUCUACUAUGCAGAUCGGCUAUCGGCACAUUGAUUGUGCUCAAAUCUAUGGAAACGAGAAGGAGGUAAGCAUAGUCAUCUUUGGUUUCAAGGAUUUUGUAUAUUUCGUUUAGAUUAUGGUUCUGUUCCUUGUAUAAGUUUUGAAAGUUUUAGGUUAAGCUGUAUUGGUUCAUGAUUGUUAAUAUUUCCAGUCUUUAGUUUCAUACUUGUAUCUCGCUUCUUGAUGCAAAAACAUUGUGCUCUUGAUUAUGCGUAUGCUGUGUAUCACAAUGGGUUGCUUAACACUGCUCAUCUUUAGUUGCCUUGUUUGAUCAUGUUUUGCUCGUUUCCUCAAGCUCCAAUCUUGAUUGUAGAUAUGUAUUCAUUAUCCUGUAUCUCUCUGUUUUGAUGACCAAGAAAUCUCUUAGAACAAUAUUAUUUUGCCUACAUAUCUUAAUAUUUGGGUUAAUUUAUUGACAUGAUCUCUGUUGUUUGUAAACUGUGCUAUUGUUUUGAAUCUAGAAAUAACAGGCUCGUCGUUAAUCAACAAUGAUUGAUUUAAUGACUGACAGAACACACCUGUAUUUAUUUGCCACUGACAACUUCUUCCUACUGCAGAUUGGGUUAGUCCUGAAGAAAUUGUUCGAUGAUGGAGUUGUUAAGCGUGAGGAAAUUUUCAUCACAUCGAAACUCUGGUAUUCUGCAUCACUAUGCUUUAAUUACCUUAUAGAUUAUUUCUUCUUUUUUCCGGUAAUCAGUUGUCAAGUCUGUGGAUCGUCUAACCUGGUCACUUGCUCAUAUGAAAGGUGUACUUAUCAUGAUCCUCAAGAUGUGCCAGAGGCUCUGUACAGAACUCUACAGGAUCUACAGCUUGACUAUGUUGAUUUGUAUCUCGUAAGUAAUAUAUUAGGAAACCUUUUCUUGUUCCUUUCGACGAAUUAUCCAUGUGUGUUUCUCUUCAACAUAACUUGCAGUGAUCCAAAUUGGUUCCUGAACCUGAGUUGUGCUUUUAGAUGUGGUUUGAUUUAUGUGUAUGUUACUGCAUUUGUUAAGAUUUGAGAAUCUUAGGACUCUUGUGAAAUAUUGGUCGAACAUCUAAGCCUUUUUCAAUUGACAUCUUGCGCCAUUUUGUGGAACCAAUUCAACUGAUCAACAGUUUUUGUGACCCUUUUGCAGAUCCACUGGCCUGUUAGCCUCAAGAAAGGUUCUACUGGUUUUAAGCCAGAGAACAUUCUGCCAACUGAUAUUCCUAGCACAUGGAAAGCAAUGGAAGCACUCUUUGAUUUGGGAAAGGCCCGAGCUAUUGGUGUAAGCAACUUUUCCUCAAAGAAACUCGCAGAUCUCUUGGAGGUGGCUCGCGUCCCUCCUGCUGUUAACCAGGUGGAGUGUCACCCUUCGUGGCAACAAACUGUGCUCAGGGAUUUCUGUAAAUCUAAAGGCGUUCACCUCUCUGUAUGUAGCACAAACAUUUGCCAUAACCUUUUUGCAAAACUGACAAAAGAUCUCGGAAAUAUUAAACAUUAGUUGAUAUUUUUUUGUAGGGAUACUCUCCGUUGGGUUCUCCAGGGACAACGUGGCUUAAGAGUGAUGUUCUAAAGAACCCGAUUCUAGUUGCGGUUGCUGAGAAGCUCGGCAAGAGUCCUGCGCAAGUUGCAUUACGCUGGGGUCUCCAAAUGGGUCAAAGUGUUCUUCCAAAAAGCACCCAUGAAGACAGAAUCAAACAGAAUUUCGAUGUUUUCAAUUGGUCCAUACCACAUGACAUGUUAUCCAAGUUUGCUGAGAUUGAACAGGCAAGUGAUUGCAUUCCAAAUAGGUCAAAAGCUUUCUCUGUUUUUGCUCAUGUACUCCGCUUAUCUAAAAUUUAAGAUGUGUUUCAAUGCUCUGCAGGGUAGAUUGGUGAGAGGCAUGUCAUUUGUUCAUGAGACUAGUCCUUAUAAGACUCUUGAACAACUUUGGGACGGUGAGAUAUGAGACUCAUCAUUGGAUGUGCCAAAUCAAUUACGGAUUUGUCAUAGAUCUAUUUAUUAGUACUGUAACUUGUUUCCUAGAGAAAGAUACACCAUUUUACGCAUAAUAAACUCUCUCAAAGUGAUCCUCCUACGUUUUCAAAGUCUUCUUUAAAAAACACUGCUGCCCUAGUUAUAUUGGAUUCCGGAUCCAUUAUAGUAAAGAACUUUAGAUGCAAGUUAUUGUAAGAUGUGGCGUAUAUUUAAAGAUGGUAAACACCGAAUACAUUUGAGACCAUUGCAAACAUUGUUUCGAAAAUAACUAAGAACUUUCGAUUUCUUGUGGUUACAAAAGAGAAAUCUUGUGUUCACUUACACGGCUAACUUUAACGUGCUCGUUAAUUAGAAACUCAUAUAAUGUGUGGUAGAGUAGUUUAGUUGACUGGCUAUAUAUGCCUUAAUGGUCAAUCCGUCCUCUUCCUCAUAAAUACAUUUCAUUUUCUUAAUGAUCAAGGACAGUGCUCCUAUUUUCACAAUAGAAAAUGGACUGUUACAAUGACAUUGUUAAUCUCAAAAGUAAAAUAUUUUUAUUCUAACUUAAAACUAUCAAUUAAAAAAUAUGUUGAGAAAUUAAUGUUUUAUGUAUGGAAUUAGUUACACACAAGUACGAGUCCAACGGAAAGAUUCUCGGAAAUGUAGACCGAUCGAAAUGGUGAAAAAUCAUAAAAAUAAAGAAUUAAAAAGAAAAAAUGGUAAUUGUGGAAAUUAAUAGUCCAACCAAAAGCUGUACCAAAACAUCCAAUGUAGUAAAUAAAUAUAGUUUGAACCAUCAAAAGAAAAUCAAAAUAAAAUGAUGAGGAAAUUAUGGAGAUCAAAUAUACGAGCAAAGAUAUUUUAAAGUUGAACAAGGAAUAAAUAUUGAUACUACUUGCCAGAGAUGUGGUCCAUGUGGAGCUAUUGAGUUAAUGAUGUAGAUAGAGAAUCUUAAUUUAUCUAGAUUUACCAACUUCUAUUGGGUUAAUGUUUUACGUACCUGUAUAAACACUCUAGUUUGUGAAUUAAUUAAUACAACCAACCUUUUUUAUCCAAUUUAGUUUGGGAGCGGUGGAGGAAAAAAUAACUACACUAAGUAUCUUUCUUUCUCACAAAAUUGGAUUUUAUCACCGAUCUUGUUGAUUCAAGAUCAUUUUCCAACAAAUUCGAUUAAUACGAACGUGAAUCUCUUUUGGAAAAUUUCAUAUUGAUCCGAUGACUAAGUGGUUUAAUUAUUUGGAAAAAAAAAACAAAUGACAUGGUUUUUCACUUUUCAGGGUACUUUAUUUUUUUUUUUUCUUCACAUUUAGUAAAUUUCUUGUUCAAAACGAAAAAGAAAAGAAACAUCACGAAUAGAUCAUAAGACAUAUAAAAUGGCAGGAUGUAAAUGUUCGAGACGUGCCAUUUCAAAAGCUGCCGCUAUUUAAGGAAUUCAGUGAUCGGUGAAGCGAUGAUAUUGCAAACAACACCAACCGUUACAUUCUUCAAAACCCUAAAGAUUCUUCUUCCUGUACUCGAACCGGACGCCAAUGACGAUGGUGACUCGGCUAAGAUACACUCCGUAUGAAUAUCGAACUUACAGAGCUCACACCUAAACCUCCAAGAUUGGCACGAGCCGUGACAAACCAUACACGUGCUGGCUCCCCCGAGGCGAAACUCCAAGUGAUGAGCAGGGUGAAGCACGUGCCUCACGUGCUGAGGCAGCUGCGUGCAGAGCGGGUGUACGUCGAACUCACAUAGCUUGCAUCUGUAGAACAAACCCUCGACGGACUCGUUGCAGAUGUCGCACACGCGUUCGUUCUGGCGCGUGGACUGCUUUUGACGGAAGAGGCUGAGCUCGUGCUGGGGAUGAGUGAAGUUUUGGAGGGUGAAGGGACACGUGGCGCAGUAUUCGUGGAGAUCGUAGUCGCAUGUUUCGCAUCGAUAGGUUUUGUCUGAGCCGUAGGUUUCGCAGCCGUCGCAGAUGAAGUCACGGGCGAUGUUCGUUUCCAUUAGUGGAUGGUUGUGCGUGAAAUGCUGAACGACGCGAUGUUUUGGAGCCAUCUUUACCGUUUUUGGUGUGUGUGUGUGUGUGUGUGUUCUUUUUUUAGAAUGGUUAGGAUUUGAGAGAAGAAACGGUGGUAUAUAUAAGAACGAAUACUUUUUGAGACGAAUCCAAACAUUGUUUCGGACAUAACUAAGAACUUUCGAUUACUCGUGCUUACAAAAGAGAACACUUUUGUUGACUUGUCCAGCUAAGGUUAACAUGCUCUAGAAAUGUGUGGUAGAGUAACUCAGUUGACUGACUAUGUAUGCCUUAACGGUCAAUGUGGCCUCUUCCUCAUAAUCACAUGCAUAUCCACAUUUCAUUGUCUUGAUGAUCACGGACUGCGCUUCAAUAUUCACAAGUAGAAUAUGGACUGGCUUAAAGUGAAAUGUUAAUCUCAAAAGUAAAAAAUUUUUAUACAAACUUAAAACUAUCAACUAAAAGACGACAAAUAAAACCUAUCAGUUAAAAAAUAUGUUAAGAGAUUAAUGUUUUAUGUAUGGAAUUGAUUUCUUAGUUUAGUUGUUGUGUUUUUUUCUGUUCCAGUUAAAGAUUUUUAUUUUGUCUAUAUAUCUUGUAGAAGUUUGAAAUAGUUCUGUUUGGUGAACUGGGGGUAAUUCUAUAGCUAGUGCGCACAGGCUGAGAGAAUUUGUAUAUUUUUUUAUUAAUGGUUUCUAAAUAGAAACUUAUAAAAGGUUUACUAAAACAUAUAAACAUUCCAAAGAAUUUCCAUUAAACACUUCAAAAAGUUAUUUGGACGCAAAUUAAAGAAAGGUGUGGCAUAUACCACAUACUUCUUUUUAGUAAUUUAAGUUCAUGAAUAUCAUUCAGCCAAACAUAAAAAUAAAAGAGAUGUGCCUCAACUCAAUUAAGAACAAAAGAAAGUUCUCCAGCCUAAAUCAUUUUUAAUGAACUUAAUAACUUUUCUAAAACCCUAUUUUGUUGACUCAAUAUUUUCUCCUAAUUGGUUGUCUAUAACAAUUUUUAUACUGUGGCUGAGCUAAUAAUUUGUUCGUUAAGAGCAAUUCUACUUCUUCUUCGAAAAGAUCUAUGACAUUAGACUCUUUUUUUGAUGCUAUUGUUACUAUAUUUUUCGAUAAAUUAUUUUAUUACAUACAAAAGAAUGUGUGUUUCGUAUUAAAUAAAUUUCUGGAUCCGCUCUGCUGUGUACCCCAUUUUAUUUGGACAUGCAUGUGGAAUAAGGUAGUUGUAAGGCCAAGAGAAAAGCCUUAAAAACACACGUACGAAUCCAACGGAAUACGUAGAUUCUCGGAAAUGUAGACCGAAAUGGUGAAUUCAUAAAAAUAAAUAAUUAAAAAGAGAAAAAUGGAAAUUGUGGAAAUUAAUAGUCCAACCAAAAGCUGUACCAAAACAUCCAAUGUAGUAAAUAGUUUGAAACAUCAAAAGAAAUCAAAAUAAAAUGAUGAGGAAAUUAUGGAGAUCAAAUAGAUGAGCAAAGAUAGACGAGUAGAUGAGCAAAAAUAUUUUAAAGUUGAAUGAGGUAUAAAUAUUGAUACUACUUGCCAGAGAAGUGGUUCAUAUGGGGCGCUAUUGAGAUAAUGAUGUAGAGAAUCUUAGUUUAUCUAGAUUUACCAUUAUCUUUAGUUCCCAUUUCUAUUCGGUUAAUGUUUUGCGUACUUGUAUAAACACUCUCUAGUUUGUGAAUUAAUAUACAACCAACUUUUUUAUACAAUUUAGUUUGGGAGCGGAGAAGGAAAACAAUUACCCUUCAGUAUCUUUCUUUCUUACAAAUUUGGAAUUUAUCACCCAUCUUUUUUUAUUCAAGAUCAUUUUCCAACGAAUUCGGUUAGUAUGAUCGUGAAUCUCUUUUGGACAAUCCCAAAUUGAUCCGAUGACACCGUAAGUUAUGUGGUUUAUUUGAAAAAAAACAAAUCCUAAUGGUCUUUUAAGGUACUUUUUAAUUUAAUUUAUUGUUCAAAACGAAAAAGAAAACAAACAUCACGAAUAUAUAAUGGCAGGAUGUUAAUUUCAAAAGCUGCCGCUAUUUAAGGGCUUCGGAGAUCGGUCCAGCGAUGAGAUUGCAAACAACCCCAACCGUUAGAGCCUUCAAAACCCUAAACAUUCUUCUUCCUAUACUUGGACGACGCGACGCCAAUGACGAUGAUUGUCCUCCCUGUGCCUUAAGCCCUCUGCUUUUAGUACCCGAUUCAUCGGUCUGGUUAGAAGGUGACGUGUUGCACACGGCUAAGAUACACUCAAUAUGAAUAUCGAACUUGCAGAGCUCACACCUAUACCUCCAAGAUUGGCACGAGCCUUGACAAACCAUACACGUGCUCUCUCCACCGAGGCGAAACUCCAAGUGAUGAGCAGGGUGAAGCACGUGCCUCACGUGCUGCGGCAGCUGCGUGCAGAGCGGAUGUACGUCGAACUCACAUAGCUUGCAUCUGUAGAACAAACCCUCGACGGACUCGUUGCAGAUGUCGCACACGCGUUCGUUCUGGCGCGUGGACUGCUUUUGACGGAAGAGGCUGAUCUCGUGCUGGGGAUGAGUGAAGUUUUGGAGGGUGAAGGGACACGUGGCGCAGUAUUCGUGGAGAUCGUAGUUGCAUGGCUCGCAUCUAUAGGUUUUGUCUGAGCCGUAGGUUUUGCAGCCGUCGCAGAUAAAGUCACAUGCGAUGUUCAACUCCGUUAGUGGAUGAUUGUGCGUGAAAUGCUGAACGGCGCGCGGUUUUGGUGUCUUUGAAGCCAUCUUUAGCGUUUUUGGUGUGUGUGUGUGUGUUUUUUUAAAAAAAGGUUCGGAUUUGAGAAAAUAAACGGUGGUAUAAGAACGAAUACUUUUGAGAUGAUUCCAAAUAUUGUUUCGGAAAUAAAUAAGAACUUUCGCUAGACUGGUUACAAAAGACUGAAAGAUAGUACUUUUGUUGACUUGUCUAGAUAAGGUUAACGUGCUCUAGAAAUGUGUGGUACCGUAAUUUAGUUGACUGACUAUGUAUGACUUAACGAUCAAUAUUGUGGCCUCUUCCUCAUAAUCACAUAUCAACAUUUCAUUGUCUUCAUGAUAAAGGACUGCGCUCCAAUUUUCACAGUAGAAAAUGGACUGGAUUACAGUGAAAUGUUAAACUCAAAAGUAAAAUAUUUUUAUUCAAAAUUAGAACUAUCAUUUAAAAGACGAUAAAUAAAACAUAUCAGUCAAAAAAUAUGUUAAGAGAUUAAUGUUUUAUGUAUGGAAUUGAUUUCUUAGUUUAGUUGUAGUGUUUUUUUUUUUUUACUUCCAAUUAAAGAUUUUUAUUAUGUCUAUAUGUCUUGUAGAUGUUUGAAAUAGGUCUAUUUGGUGGACUGUGGGGAACUCUAGUUCGCACAGGCUGAGAUCUAUGAUGGUAUAGACUUUUUUUUAAUGCUAGUGUUACUAUAUUUUUCGAUAAAUUAUUUUAUUACUUACACAACAAAAAAUGUUUGUUCCAGAUUAAAUAAAUUUCUGAAUCCGCUCGUGUACCCAUUUUGUUUGGACAUGCAUGUGGAACAAGGUGGUCGUAAGGCCAAGAGAAAAGCCUUGCAUACACGUACGAGUCCAACGGAAUACGAAGAUUCUCGGAAAUGUAGACCGAAGUGGUGGAAAUAGUCCAACCAAAACUGUUCCAAAACAUCCAAUAGUAAAUAGUUUGAAACAUCAAAAGAAAAAUGAUACGAAAUUAUGGAGAUCAAAUAGACUUGCCAGAGAUGUGGUCCAUGUGGAGUUAUUGAGAUAAUGAUGUGCAGAAGAGUCUUAGUCCAUUAUCUUUAGUACCAAUUUCUUCUAUUGGGUUUAUAUUUACGUACUUGUAUAAACAUUCUAGUUUAUGAAUUAAUAGAAUCAACUUUUUUAUCCAAUUUAGUUUGGAAGCGGAGGAAACAAUUACCCUGAGUAUCUUUCUUUCUUACAAAUUUGGAAUUUAUCACCGAUCAUGUUGAUUCAAAAUAAUUUUCCAACGAAUUCGGUUAAUACGAACGUGGAUCAUCUCUUUUGAACAAUUCCAAAUAAAUAAAAUCCGAUGACACUGUAAAUUAGGUGGUUUAUCUGGAAAAAAUAAAUAAAGUAAAAAUGGUAUUUUUCAGGGUGCUCAACCGGAGUCGCCUUAAUAUGGUAACACGUACUUUUUAAAAUUUUCUAAAUUUAUUGUAUAAAAAGAAAAAGAAAUCAAACAUAUAUAACGAAAAAGAAAGCAAACAUAACGAAAAAAAAAAACGAAAAAGAAAACAAACAUAACGAAUAGAGAAACAAGACAUAGCAUGGCAGGAAGUUAAUGUUAGAGACGUGCCAUUUCAAAAGCCGCCGCUAAAGGCUUCGGAGACCGGUGCAGCGAUGAUAUUGCAAACAACACCAACCGUUAGAGCCAUCAAAACGCCAAACAUUCUUCUUCCUAUACUUGGACGCGACUCUUGAACAUGACCUUGAUGAUUUGUAUAUCCGUGAUUGUAAUAAGGCUGGUAAUACUGAGAAGGGUGAUAAUACGGUUGUGACCCAUCAUAACACCUCUCCUGAAACGUCGUCGCUGCGACUGAUGAUGCUGACGAAUUAACGCAUUCCAUGUGAACAUCUAACCGGCAUGGACCACACUUGUACCGCCAAGACCGGAUUGCCCCGUGGCAAACCAUGCACGCGCUGCUUGCUCCCCAAUGACUCAGGUCUAAGAGAUGGGCCUGAUGGGGCACGUGCCUCACGUGCUGAGGCAGCCACGUGCAGAGUGGAUGGACGUCGAAGCCGCAAGGCUCGCAUUGGUAAAAGAGCCCUUCGGCUGAUUCGUCGCAGAUGUCGCACAUACGUUUGUCAUGGUGCGUCUGCUCUGGUCCUCUAAAGACUAGUCGUAGCUCGUGUUGUGGAUGCAUGAAGCUGAGGAGGGUAGGGGGACACGUAGCGCAGUGAUCGUGGAGAUUGUAGUCGCACCAGGAGCAACGGUAGGUCUUCCCAAAACCGUAGGUUUUGCAGCCAUUGCAUGUGAACUCGCCAUAUCCAUCAAACUUUGUUAAUGGAUGCAUAUGGGUGAAAUGUUGGACUACGUGACUUGACGAAGACAUUUCGUGGUUCUUAUUUGUUUGUUCUUGAGAACGGUUAAGAUUUGAGAGAAUGAGUGGGGUGGUUUAAAAAGAACUAGUUUUUAGAACCAUUCUCAAACAAACUUUUUUUGGCAACUUGACUACUUGAGUUAAAACUUUGGUUUAGAGUCUUUAGACCAUCAAACAAAUAAUAGUUUCUGUAUAGCUGUCCUUACAAAAAUAUUAGCUUUCGUUCACUUGUACGCCAAAAACAAUAACUUUAACUUGGUCUUUAGAAAUUUUGAGAACGUGGUGAAGUAGUGUAGUUGACUUUGGCUAGUUGACUGAAUUUGGCCUCUUUUGAUUCGCGUCACAAUUUCUUUUUUUUUUUCAUUUUUUUUAAAACGUAUGAGUUUUUUAGUCGAUUUUCACAAAUAAAUCUACACAAUAAAUAUUCAUUUCUUUCGAAUAUUUUCCAAUGGUCGAAGAACAUGAUAUAUCAAGAAAUAAUUUCCCUUUGUUAUUGAGUCAGAUUGGAUGUAAACCAUAGCUUAAUCUGUUGUUUGAGAAUCAGAUUUUUACUCCAUGGUUAUUCCUCCCACGAUGUAUACUCCAUGUGCUUGUAUUUUGUAAGUUAUGAUCGCACCUCAUUCCAAGAACCUGAAAGCAUCAUGACAUGCCUUGGAUUGGGUAGCCUUAUCAACCCAUGAUUAACGUUUUAUCGCCUCUUGACUUUUUUUUAUACGUUCAAAUGAAUGGAUUUUUUCUACUAUCCAAACAACAUAAUUAUUACAAAAAUAUAUAUCUAAAUUGUAAUGUUUUUCUAUUUAAAUGAUAUAUAGUUGAUAAAUGAUUGUUUUCGAUCUUUCCUAGUAUCUAUUCGGAAGAACAAAUUGGUGAUUAUUUAUUACAGUUAACAUAAUUUUCAGUGUUGUGAUUUUAUUUUACACAACUGUGUAGCAAAAAAAGGAAAAGUAGAGAACCUGAUACAAACUGAUUUGCAUAAAGUUUGAGACUUUGAGUGGUUACUUUGGCCAGAAUGAUUUUUAUUUGUUGAAAAAGUUUCUGCAUUUUUGGCACAAAAUAUUAAAAUACAAAAAAAAAACAACAAAAUAAUACAUGUUUGCGUUUUCUUUGUAAAAAUUCAAAACUCACGCAAAAAGACUUUCAACGGAAAGCCCAAACAGUACAUUAGAAACCACCCCAAUUGUUAGCUUCGACGCAACGGUAAACAUUCUCCAGCCCUUACCCGGAUUCGGCUUUUGACCCGCUCCGGCCACUGGUACUUGGCCCUGGUCAUAUCGAACCCGUUCAUGUAACUAAAGUUAUUAGGGUUAGAGAUGAUAAGGCUGUGACCAUACGCAUAAGGGUAACCAAAAGCCGGUUGUUGACCCAUCGGUCCAUAACCAUAAGGGUAACCAACAUGCGGUUGUUGCCACGACGCCGAUGAAGAUGGUUGUCCUCCAUGUGCCUUGAGCCCUCUGCUUUUAAUACCCGAUUCAUCUGUCGGGUCAGAAGGUGACGUGUUACACACGGCUAAGAUACACUCCAUAUGAAUAUCAAACCUACAUAGCUCACACCUAUAUCUCCAAGACUGGCACGGGCCACGACAAACCAUACACGCGCUUGCUCCACCGAGGCGAAACUCCAAGUGAUGAGCAGGGUGAAGCACGUGCCUCACGUGCUGAGGCAGCUGCGUGCAGAGCGGGUGUACGUCGAACUCACAUAGCUUGCAUCUGUAGAACAAACCCUCGACAGACUCGUUGCAGAUGUCGCACGCGCG
RNAcentral lists this long non-coding RNA (23346 nucleotides) under Eutrema salsugineum. RNAcentral describes it as "long non-coding RNA (ESAL_LNC001965)". Lineage: Eukaryota; Viridiplantae; Streptophyta; Magnoliopsida; Brassicales; Brassicaceae. The record is from RNAcentral.